GGGGAUAUAGCUCAGUUGGUAGAGUGCUUGCUCAGCAUGCACAAGACCCUGGGUUCAAACCCCAGCACCACCA
Ictidomys tridecemlineatus (thirteen-lined ground squirrel) is the source of this 73-nucleotide non-coding RNA. NCBI's taxonomy places the organism in Eukaryota, Metazoa, Chordata, Mammalia, Rodentia, Sciuridae. The record is from Rfam.